GAAGCUGUGAACGGCUCAUUACACCAGUAGUUACACACAUGACGUCAUGCAAACGGAUAACCGUCGGAAACAAAGGCUAAGACGAGGACAGAUUCGACGAAUUCGAACCAUUUUUCCUGGAAAAUCAAGUCGAACGGGCUUUGCUCGUUGGGGGAAUCACAGGAAAUUCUUGAGUCGAAUAUUCGAUGCGUCAAAGUGGUUUCUGACCCAUCAGCCUUCGACGGUAGGGUAUUGGCCUACUGUGGCAAUGACGGGUAACGGGGAAUUAGGGUUUGAUUCCGGAGAGGGAGCCCGAGAAAUGGCUACCACGUCCAAGGAUGGCAGCAGGCGCGCAAAUUACCCAAUCCCAACCAGGGGAGGUAGUGACAGAAAAUAGCAGCACAAAGCGUUUUGCUUUCUGAUUGCAAUGGGGGUUUCUCAAAACACCGUUCGAGAAUCUAUCGGAGGGCAAGUCUGGUGCCAGCAGCCGCGGUAAUUCCAGCUCCAAUAGCGUAUAUUAAAGUUGCUGCAGUUAAAAUGCUCGUAGUUGAAGAGGCAUGAACUUCAGGAGAUCAAUCUUGAUCUUUUGUGCUUCCGUCAAGGCUUUCGAUAACCUUGUGUUACUGUGAGAAAAAUUGAGUGUUUCAGGCGAGCGUUUCGUUGAAAUAUAGGACCAUGGAAUAAUUUCGUGGCUCCAAACCAGCCAUAUGACUUGCUGGUUUGAGGUGCGUGGUUGACAGAAAUAGUUGAGGGCGUCCGUAUUGAACAGUCAGAGGUGAAAUUCUGAGAUUUGUUCAAGACGAACAACUGCGAAAGCUUUUGCCAAGGAUUUUUUCUUUAAUCAAGAACGAAAGUUAGGGGAUCGAAGACGAUUAGAUACCGUCGUAGUCUUAACCAUAAACCAUGCCCGACUAGGGAUCGGUGGAAUUCAAAUUUGGGAAUCCUUCAGUACCUUGAGAGAAAUCUAAGUUCUUGGGUUCCGGGGGGAGUAUGGUCGCAAGGCUGAAACUUAAAGGAAUUGACGGAAGGGCACCACCAGGAGUGGAGCCUGCGGCUUAAUUUGACUCAACACGGGGAAACUCACCAGGUCCAGACAUAGGAAUGAUUGACAGACUGAAAGCUCUUUCUCGAUACUAUGGGUGGUGGUGCAUGGCCGUUCUUAGUUGGUGGACUGAUUUGUCUGGUUGAUUCCGACAACGAACGAGACCUUCUCUUGCCUAGUAGGGCCAUUAUUCUUGCGAAUCUGGAUCCUUCUUAGCAGGACUUUGCGCGUUCCAGCGCAAUGAAGCGAAGACUAUAACAGGUCUGUGAUGCCCUUAGAUGUUCUGGGCUGCACGCGUGCUACAAUGAGACUCUCAAGAAGAUGCGAUUUCGACAGAUGUCGCAGAUCUCAGAAGCAGUUUCUUUACUGGGACAGUUGAUUGCAAUUUUUCGGCUCAAACGAGGAAUUCCUUGUAAUCGUGAUACAUCAUGUCGCGGUGAAUACGUCCCUGCCCUUUGUACACACCGCCC
This 1491-nucleotide ribosomal RNA is filed under the name uncultured eukaryote. RNAcentral describes it as "SSU rRNA". It matches the Rfam family "Eukaryotic small subunit ribosomal RNA", at positions 83 to 1674 of the family's 1831-position model. The record is from RNAcentral.